GUGCUCCCUUGAGCAGCACAUAUACUAAAAUUGGAACAAUACAGAGGAGAUUAGCAUGGC
Molecule: small nuclear RNA, 60 nt
Organism: Colobus angolensis palliatus
Lineage: Eukaryota; Metazoa; Chordata; Mammalia; Primates; Cercopithecidae
Source: Ensembl